GGAGAGGUGACAGAGUGGCCGAUUGUGCAACACUGGAAAUGUUGUGUACCGCUAUGGUACCGAGGGUUCGAAUCCCUCCCUCUCCGCCA
This 89-nucleotide transfer RNA is filed under the name Puniceicoccales bacterium. RNAcentral's name for it is "tRNA-Ser". It matches the Rfam family "tRNA". From Rfam's summary of the family: Transfer RNA (tRNA) molecules are approximately 80 nucleotides in length. Their secondary structure includes four short double-helical elements and three loops (D, anti-codon, and T loops). The record is from RNAcentral. Lineage: Bacteria; Pseudomonadati; Verrucomicrobiota; Opitutia; Puniceicoccales.